RNAcentral lists this ribosomal RNA (465 nucleotides) under Vreelandella stevensii. RNAcentral's name for it is "partial 16S ribosomal RNA". It matches the Rfam family "Bacterial small subunit ribosomal RNA", at positions 338 to 795 of the family's 1533-position model. Lineage: Bacteria; Pseudomonadati; Pseudomonadota; Gammaproteobacteria; Oceanospirillales; Halomonadaceae. The record is from RNAcentral.
CCUACGGGGGGCUGCAGUGGGGAAUAUUGGACAAUGGGCGAAAGCCUGAUCCAGCCAUGCCGCGUGUGUGAAGAAGGCCUUCGGGUUGUAAAGCACUUUCAGUGGGGAAGAAAGCCUUGGGGCUAAUACCCUCGAGGAAGGACAUCACCCACAGAAGAAGCACCGGCUAACUCCGUGCCAGCAGCCGCGGUAAUACGGAGGGUGCGAGCGUUAAUCGGAAUUACUGGGCGUAAAGCGCGCGUAGGCGGUCUGAUAAGCCGGUUGGGAAAGCCCCGGGCUCAACCUGGGAACGGCAUCCGGAACUGUCAGGCUAGAGUGCAGGAGAGGAAGGUAGAAUUCCCGGUGUAGCGGUGAAAUGCGUAGAGAGCGGGAGGAAUACCAGUGGCGAAGGCGGCCUUCUGGACUGACACUGACGCUGAGGUGCGAAAGCGUGGGUAGCAAACAGGAUUAGAUACCCCAGUAGUC